Molecule: long non-coding RNA, 9346 nt
Organism: Oncorhynchus tshawytscha (Chinook salmon)
Lineage: Eukaryota; Metazoa; Chordata; Actinopteri; Salmoniformes; Salmonidae
Source: Ensembl
AAGACACUGGCAGAGAGACCAGUAAAGACACUGGCAGAGAGACCAGUAAAGACACUGGCAGAGAGACCAGUAAAGACACUGGCAGAGAGACCAGUAAAGACACUGGCAGAGAGACCAGUAAAGACACUGGCAGAGAGACAAUAACAAAAGCUAGUCAAGAGACCCGAAAGGACAGCAGGAGCAGAGGGAAAGAUAAGGAGGCGGAAAAGAUAAUCAAGGAGAUGGAGACUGGCAAAAAAGAGACCAGUACAGAGACUCGCAAAAAGUUAGGGAGUAAGACUAGAAACAUGACAGUCCAUGAGACCAGCAAAGACACUGGGAAAAUGACCAGUACAGAGACUGUUAAGGAGACUGAGAGAGAGACUAGCACAGACAUGGAGAGAGAGACCUGUAGAGCUGUUAGUAUAGUGGCCAGUAGAAUCAGCAAUAGAGAAACCAAAAAAAAGCCAGAGACUUGUAAAACACCUGAAAAGAAGACCAAUACUCAGACUGUGAAAGAAAAAACUAAAGUGACUCCUCCCCCCAUCUCCCCUCCAACCACUAAUCUGUGGGAUUUCCUGAAGAGGCAGAACCGAGGAGCUGUGAUUGGUCUGAGUGCACUCAUCGAGUGCCACAGUCACGGCCAGCCCCCCCUCUACCUCUGCCAGGUGUGUGGGUGUAAAGUCUUCCAGAACGCCAUCAUCGUCCAUGUAACCACAGACUGCCACCGGCUUUCCUACCUGAGGUCGCUGAAGACAGUGGUUGUCCCCAAAGGGAACCAGCUCCAUAAGAAGUUGAGGAGAGCUGCCUUGAAGCUGGAGAGGACCAUGGGAUAUGGAGAGGCUGAGGUAACGGAGUUGGAUGCACACACUUACAAUUUUGUUGCAGAAAGAUCCUUUGCCAUUGGCCUGAACAUUGUAAUGAAGGUCAUAAAUGGUGACCCUUCACCUGACCCCCUACUGUUGGUCAGCCCUAAACCCCCUGACCCCUCACCCCAGGUCAGCCCUGACCCCUCACUCCAGGUGUCAGAGGUCAGCAACCCCACCAUGACCUCUACAGCUCUGUGGUCCUACCUGAAUGCCUCCACCAGGACACAGCCUGUCAUCGGUGUCAGUAUGUUGACAGAGUUGCCAGACAGACAUGGUGACUACUUCCUCUGCCGCUGCUGUUCUCACAGGAUGUUUACAUCAUCCCUCAUUGGACACCUAAUCUCUGCUCGACACCGCUACCACUACAUAAAACUAGUGUACCCUGAGCUGGCUGCUGAUUGGCCAGUGAGCCCAGAGCUGACGGUGAAGGCGGGGCCUCUUCAUGAGGAGCUGAGAGUGAGAGCUGCAGAACUGGAGGCACAGGAGGGACUAGGACAGCUCACGGUGGUAAAGAGAGAACCUGCUGCUGGAGACACAACCACUACCAAUACUGAAGGGACUGCCCAGCAGAGCCAGAACGGCUCACCUCCUCUCUCUGUGAAAGAGGAACCGGUUGACUCCACAGUACCAUCCCAGCCCCCUAGAGGAGAAAAGAGGAACAAGAGGAGGAGCAACCCUGUGGUUGGUGUGAACUUCCUGGUCCAGGUGUCCCACAGGAGAAGGAAACAGUACUACUGUCAGCUAUGUUCUGUCAGGAUGAAACACGCUAUUGCUGAUCACAUGACCAGCCUCAGCCACCGACACAACUAUGUGAGGUUGAAGUACCCUGGUUGGACCUCCAGCCCGGUAGAGAUGGAGAAGAAGCUGUUCAAAAUGGCCGUUCACCUGGAGAAGGUCGACAGAGACGCAGGAAUGGGCAUGCAGAAGGUAGAAGUGGAAGCUGAUGAGUACAAAGAGCUGUUGUCCUUUCCUGUGGAGGAAGGUGUCAGUAAACUGCAAGCCAUCAUCAGACGGCAACAAGAGCCAUGCGAUCUGAGACACACAGCUCCCUCGACCAAUCACAACCCAGAGGAUCUGAGACAGACAGCUCCCUUGUCCAAUCCCGAUGCAGCCCAAUGUCCAGCUCAAGGUAUGUGUGGGGCAGAGUCACGUGAGACCGAGGGAGUGUGUCCUCUCCCUGUCAGUCUAUCAGAGGAGGAGAAUGACCAGACGCUCCUGGUUCAGAUCUCAAUGUUUUUGGGAGAAGACCAGGAACCCCUACAAGUACCUUCCCGUUCCUCCAGGAUCAGCCACCCCUUAUUUCCAUCCCUCUCCCACUCUCUACACCUCACCCUAUCCCCCUCUCUUCCUCAAUCCCCCUCCCUCUCUCCCUCAAACCCCUUUUCUACCUCUCUUUCCACAGUUGUCCUAUCUACCUCACCCUCCCUCUCUUCCUCCAUACCAUCCCACACCCCCUCGUUGUCCACAGAGAAGACAACACACCCCUCCCCUGUCUCUGUCCCUGUUCCUGCACCUCUCUCAGCUCUGAGGAGCUCAACACAUUUGAAGGACUGGGAGACUUCUCUGAGUCCAGAGUGGUGGGAGAGGAAGAGCCCAGAAUGCAGAGAGACACAGACGCUUCUAGAAAUACCAGACAGACACACUCUUCUGGAAUACUCGGGCAGAGACAGACAGAUUGAAUACUCAGCGACAGACCGACAGACUGCAUACACUGAGAGAAACCGACAGACUCAUCUAGAAUACUCUGAGAGAGACAGACGGGCAGACUACUCAGAGAGAGACAGACGGGCAGACUACUCAGAGAGAGACAGACGGGCGGACUACUCGGAGAGAGACAGACGGGCGGACUGCUCGGAGAGAGGCAGACGGGCGGACUACUCCGAGGGAGGCAGACGGGCGGACUACUCCGAGGGAGGCAGACGGGCGGACUACUCCGAGGAGGCAGGCGGGCGGACUACUCCGAGGGAGGCAGGCGGGCGGACUACUCCGAGGAGGCAGGCGGGCGGACUACUCCGAGGGAGGCAGGCGGCCGGACUACUCCGAGGGAGGCAGGCGACCGGACUUCUCCGAGGGAGGCAGACGGGCGGACUUCUCCGAGGGAGGCAGACGGGCGGACUUCUCCGAGGGAGGCAGACGGGCGGACUACUCCGAGGGAGGCAGACGGGCGGACUACUCCGAGGGAGGCAGACGGGCGGACUACUCCGAGGGAGGCAGACAGGCGGACUACUCCGAGGGAGGCAGACAGGCGGACUACUCCGAGGGAGGCAGACAGGCGGACUACUCCGAGGGAGGCAGACAGGCGGACUACUCCGAGGGAGGCAGACAGGCGGACUACUCCGAGGGAGGCAGACAGGCGGACUACUCCGAGGGAGGCAGACAGGCGGACUACUCCGAGGGAGGCAGACAGGCGGACUACUCCGAGGAGGCAGACAGGCGGACUACUCCGAGGGAGGCAGACAGGCGGACUACUCCGAGGGAGGCAGACAGGCGGACUACUCCGAGGGAGGCAGACAGGCGGACUACUCCGAGGGAGGCAGACAGGCGGACUACUCCGAGGGAGGCAGACAGGCGGACUACUCCGAGGGAGGCAGACAGGCGGACUACUCCGAGGGAGGCAGACAGGCGGACUACUCCGAGGGAGGCAGACAGGCGGACUACUCUGAGGGAGGCAGACAGGCGGACUACUCUGAGGGGGAACUGGACGAAGACCAAGAACACACACAUCAUCACAGUGAACACACACAUCAGCACAGUGAACACACACAUCAGCACAGUGAACACACACACUUCGAGCAGGCCCCAGCAAGCUGGCUCAGUGUUCCACAGGUGUAUCUGCUGCCGGACACACCCGCAGCAAAGAGGGUUGUCGGCCCCAGCCACCUGUCCAAAUACCUGAAAGUGAAGGGCCUUCACAACACAGAACCGAUCAUAGGUCUGGGCAGUGUGGUGGAGUGUAGAGGUAUAUCCCAGGCUACGUUUUUCAUGUGUGUGAGCUGUGCUGAGACUCUCUCCAGUACACACAUCUGUGAACACAUCAUCAGCGCGCAACACCAGCAGUGCUACAUGUUUUCCCAGUAUAGUCCUAUGCGCUGUGAUUGGUUGAGAGAGCAGCAGCAGCCUCCGAGUCCACAGCUCCUCAGGAAGGUUGCUUCAGCACUGUCACAACUGGAGGUGGAUCUAGAUGCACAGGUGAUGCUGCUGGAUCAGAUGUGGUAUAACCUUGUGAAGUCAGCUCCAUUCUACGAAGCCAUGUACAUGCUGCAGGAACAGAAUCAGAAUGCCCUGUGUCUACACACAGCAAGCAGACAUCAGCUUUUUCCCCCAGUUGGUCCUGACCCAGCAACGGAGCAGGGCUUUGACCAGAACCACAGAGUGAUGGAUAAACUGACCAUGGAUCAGAUUGAGCCCCAUCACCCCCUGCAGACAGCAGAUACAGUGGCUGGUAAACUGACUGGAGAUCAGCUGGAGUCAGGCCAGUGCAUACAGACCGCAGACAGACGGCCAGAUAAUCAGAACCCGGAUCAGCCCCAGUGGAGCCAGAGCUCAGAGAGAACAGAGAUGGUCCCUGAGCCAAUAAGAGCCAAGACACCACAUAAUUCUGAGCCAAUCAGAGACCAGACACCACAGAACAUUGAGCCAAUCAGAGCCAAGACGUCAAAGAAUUCUGACCCAAUAAAAUUCCAGACACCACAGAACACUGGGCCAAAAAGAGCCUGGAUGCCACAGAACUCCUCAGAACCACAUCUGGACCAAGACAACACAGUCAUUGUCAAACAGGAGCCUGUGGACCCCAAGGUGGAACCUCAGCCCCAUCCUCAUACCCAGCCUGAGGUGGACCCCUUAAAGGGUGUGUGUGAGGUGGAGUACCAGGGGACCGUCCUAGCACACAGCCAAGAGGUGACACGAAUAGGAGGGGCCACAGAGAACUCCCUUCAACCCACCAAGAACUUGAGAGACUCCGUCAACAACAGCUUGCCUUUGGUCGGUCUCAGUGCAAUGAUAGAGUGUUGCAGUGAGGGCCAGGUGUCCUUCUACCUGUGUGUGUCGUGUGGCAGCAAAAUUGAAAAAACUCUACUCAUCAGCCACGUCCUCAAAUACAGACACCGACAGCUGUACCUGACAAUGAGGUACCCGUGGUAUUUCCUUGGUGUGGUACCAGCCCGAGGGUUGGCAGAACAGUCCAGACUGAUGCAGAUUGCUAAGGAGGUGGAGGAGCAGAACCAUGAUGAGCCUGGCACGCUACAGGAGGUGAUUCUGGCCCCUGCUGACUUUGCCGAGAUCAAACGGAUGCUGUUUGAUAAAGCUGUAUCCCGUUUGCAGGAGAUCUGUAGAGAGCAGAACCAGACUGAACUCCUCACCAUGGUCACCAGCAAACCUGAACCAAUAGUGGUCAAGCAGGAGAUUGUGGAGUGCCAGGUGGUCUCCCAUCAGGCCUUGGGGCUAUUCCUACCGCCACAGAGAUGUAGGAGAAACACGGGAAAACGUUGUUCUAACGUUGAGGGGUCAGAGGUGAGGGGUCAGCAGCAGGUGAAGAAGAGAAAGGUGUCCAGCCCCCCUGAGGGUCACACUGCCCCUGUCAUCUGUCUAUCAUCUCCUGAAGUCAUCAAGUCUUCUGAAACACACACUGUCAACCAGACACACAUCAUCACACCCUCACCCACACAAUCCAACACUAAGCCGAAACUCACAUACACACACUCUGACUCUCAAACUAAACUUAAACCUUCACGCACACACCCCAAACCCAGUUCAACAGCCCCAGAAUAUACUAGACCCAAACUCAUUCCCCAUUCUGCCACCAAGCCCUCCGGUAUCCCUGCCGACAGCCUGACUGUUGCCAAAGAGUCCUCUAGCAAGAAAGCCACUCACACACUGUGCAAACCCACACACACACUGUCCAAUAGCCAGAAGCUCACUGACAAACAUUCGGACAAGAAUGAGUCUCAGAAACAUACUGAAAAGGCUAAACCUACUCGCACACACAGUGAACGCACACACAGAAACCGCACACACACUCGCAAACACAGUGACCUCACACGCACUGACAAAGCCAAAGACGGACACAGUGACAAGACCAAACGCAGACACAGUGACCGCAAACACACUAACAGACAUUCUGACCACUCACGCUGUCACACCAGCUCUAAGAGACAUAAUCGUAGCUCCAGCCGUUCCUCCAAAGCCUCCCCCAGAGCUAGUCCCUCUGAGCCCCCUGCUCUCCCCCUACUCCCCGCUGCAUUCUCCCCCACCAGAGCCACUUCUGCGGCGAGCCUAAGCCAGGUCAAACCCAGCCAACCUUCCUGCCUAGUCAACAAACAACUACCCAAACAGUCCAGCCAACCAACCAAGAGACCUCCCAACCCAACCUCAGCAGUCAGACCUCUCCAGACCCAGGCCAACCCUCCCAACAACACCUCUUACCCCCACCUGCACCCAGAAAGAACCGGACCCAUGACCCCCCACUCGGACCCAUGACCCCCCACCCGGACCCAUGACCCCCCAACCCCCGGCAAUCCCUCCCUGCCUCACUCCUCCACCUCCACCCCAGCCAGGUCCUGUCUACGCCUCUGGGGUUAAGAAGAAGACUUCCAUUGUAGACUGUGAUCAAUUUGUGGAAUACUUUGUCUCUUUGUUGCGCUCCCCCCACUUUCCUCCUGCCCUAACCACCCCAGAGAGUGCAGAGAGCGCUGAGGCUCAUACCAGGGCAACAGGCCCUAACCCUGGAGGGGAGAAGAUGAGGGGUGACUCAAAAGGUCAUGCCAUCGCCAUAGUGGCGGCAUUACCCAACCCGCUAAAAAGGAAGCUAUCCCUACAGGAACCCGAGGACAGAGACCCCUGGAACUACGAGAGCCGACAGUUCACUCCCAACUCCAAACCUAACCCCAACUUCAAACCUAACCCAAACUUCCAGAACCCUGACUCCAAACCUAACCACAACUUCCAGAACCCUGACUCCAAACCUAACCACAACUUCCAGAACCCUAACUCCAAACCUAACCACAACUUCCAGAACCCUAACUCCAAACCUAACCACAACUUCCAAAACCCUAACCCUAAACCUAACCCCAACUUCCAGAACCCUAACUCUAACCCCAACUUCCAGAACCCUAACUCCAACUCUAACCCCAACUUCCAGAGUUAUACCCCCACUACCAAUGCCACACUAGCCCAGGGGGGUUACACUGGAGGGGUUACCGUUUCUUCUAGCCCUAACCCCACUGACCCACAGCCCCCAGAGAUUCUACCUGGUUACACCUACCCUGGUUACACCUACGCUGGUUACACCUACCCUGGUUACACCUACCCUGGUUCAGGUUACGCUGGAGUUGUCAGUGUUAGUCAGUUCACUUCCAACUCCCCCAUUAACCCUAUCCCCAGCCCCAGUAACACACAGUCACAGCCACAGGCAAGGUGGUCUGGGGGCAACUGGGGAACAGGCUACCCAGGGGCAGGCUAUGUUACAACAGGUCUAGCUGGUACUUCCUACCCUGGAGCUGUCUCUUCUGGAAGUGGACCUGGCUACCCUGGAGUUCUGCUCUACCCAGAGAUGGGCUACUCAGACAUGGACUGCCGUGGACAGGCUUACCCUAGGUCUGGGACUGGACUCGGCUCUACUGGGACUGUUAUGCCCCCAGGAAGCCUCUACUCUACCACACCAUCUCCAGCCAACCCCAGCUAUUUGGCCUUGACCCAGCCAUCACUUGACCCAGCCAGCUACUCCGCCUGGACUGCUACUGACACCGGGGUUGCCAUUGAAACCAGCACAGCAGAGUAUCUGCCACGCCCUCAGUGAGGACCCCGCCAGCCUGGAUUUCCUUAACGUGAAGCACUGACUGCUGGACAAUCGCUGGACAUGGAGGAGACGUAUACACACACACAGAUUGAUAAAGUAAAAUUUUGUUACCGAAUGUCAGUUUUAAAAUGAACAUUCUUGGUUUUCCUCUAUUUUGUAUUACUUAAAGGUAACCCUCUUGCCAGAGCUUGAUCUGUCGCUGGUGGCUCAGCAGAAGUAGUUACAUCCCUGUGGGAGGGGCCUAAUCUUGUCAGAAUAAACUCCCAUCCAAUCACUUGAAAGCUGUUUAGUUUCAAUGACUACUGAUUGUGGCAUAAGAGGAGCAAACAAUAUUUUUUUAUGUUUACUACUAUUUUUUUUUACAUUUACUUUUUUAAAGAUACAAGACAGUAUAUUUUAAUUGCAAACCAAGCGAAUGUUAUACUCAAGCAAUGUUCACCAUUUAAAUAAGGCAUAAAAGAUUCAGUUGAUGUUGAUGUUUUCUUGAAUGUGGAUUAUUAUGUUUAAUGUGAAUAUUAUUUUUGUAUCUUAUACGUUGGUAGCCCUUUACUCUCGUACCCGUAUACAGAUUUGGGGCACUAAUAAGCUCCUACAUUGGAACGUAGUGGCUUUUCAGUAACGUGCUAUACAUGACGUCAGAGUUCUGUCUGUGUGCCUCACAGCGCUGUAUGGGUUUUGACUGACAGACGUUCUGAACUUGAGCACCGUGCGCAACAAGAAGUUGCCCCUAUCCCUCCCGGUAACUGGCCAACUUUUGAAAUGUUUUUGUUGUCUGAGUGAGCAAAAUGCUAUAAAUUGAGAUUACUUGUAUUUUGAAAUAUGAGAAUUUGAGUAUUAUAAUAAAUACCGCUUUGAUGUCAUACAAGCAUGCCAAACACCUGUGUGUCCAAAUGUGCACUUCACAUUUCCAAAUCAUAAAACUCAUGUUUACUACAGUAUCAACGUUUAGCACCACCAUGUUUGAUGUAGUUACAAGAUGACAUGGCAUCAUACCCUGGGUUGUUCUGAACAGAAAUAGCCUAUGUUUGUUUAUUGUGAUGGAAACUAGAGGCUCCACACGCACCGAAUGCACUUAUGACUCCUUUCUAUGCGCCCCAACAUGACCAUCUGUUUCUCUGAAUUGCCUUGUGAAAGCCUAACACUGCAAGAUCGUAUUUUAUGACUCAUUUUGGCAAUAGAACGAGCUUUCAAAUCAUGCCCACCCUACCCACGUUGCGGUUUAUAAUGGACUGUUUUUGGAUUAUGUAAACAACAGCAGUAAUUCUGUGAUGGCGGGAAUGCAGGGUUGUGUUCCAAAUGAAACAACUACAAGUGUUCUUGCUCUCGUUCCUCAACGGCACAGCUAGGAGAGUUCAAAAAAUACUUUCAAGUUGAAGACUUUUCUUUGAGUCAUAGAAGUGCAUUGAAAUUAUUUAGGAACUGUGCACACUUUGGGGAUGUGUGUGGCCACUUGGAGACACCAGUUUCCUUACUCAAACCCUUUUUAGUUUUAUGUUGCAUAUUUUCCAGGAAUAGUCUUGUCAUGUUACUGAAUGUAUCCAGAGUGUCAACAAAUGCACAUAUAAUCAAGUGUAAUGUUUGGAAUCAGUCUGGUGUUAGAUGAACUGUUGGACUCACAUUAUCUCCAAACUUUUCCCUUUCAGUUGCUACCAUGGUUAUGCAUAUGCUUUUCAUAUUUCUUCUGUAAGAAACAUUUACAUUUAGC